Molecule: long non-coding RNA, 2757 nt
Organism: Meriones unguiculatus (Mongolian gerbil)
Lineage: Eukaryota; Metazoa; Chordata; Mammalia; Rodentia; Muridae
Exons: 2
Source: RefSeq, a predicted model, not a curated record
UUAACAGCAAAGGCAAAACAUUCCCCAAGUUUCUUUUUCCACGUCCUAUCACGGAAACGCUAAGAUAGGGAAGACAAAAUUUAACCAGAGCUGGGAAAGCGAGAUAACGCCACAGCUGAAAGACUAGAUGCCCGCUCACUGGGGACCAGCCCUGCUCCACAGCCUGCUUGAAGGAGAAGAGGUCUCCAGGGCACCGGGACCUCAGCCCACCGGAGCUCCUUGGACAGACACCCUCACGCACCAGGUUUGUGGACCUCUGGCAAGAUGAUGAACAAUACAAGUAGAAGCGCCUGAUCCCUGUUUGUCAAGAAAGCGUUUCUUCAGAAAAUCAAGGGAGGUGUUUGAGAGACGAGCCCUCUCGUGGGGUUUUCACAAAGGAUGCCUUUUCUAAGCUGUAAGGCCAAACGGCACGUUCCACCCUGGGGCAGCCACGGGAGGAACCUCACUACCACUGAGUGUCUUGGACGUAAUCAGUGUACGUAUGCUCUGUGUUCUCUUUCCGGGAAGAAGGCGAGGUGACUCCUCAUUGCCACAGAAGGCAAUCAAUAAAUAGCUUCUUACUUCAUCUACCCUGGACUCCCUCCUCAGCCCACUCCUUUGCCCCAGGCCUGCAAGGCAGCCACGUAGGCCCUGGGCAAUGUGGGUGUUUGAUCCCCUUUGAGCCUCGAUAAUUAUUUGAAAGGUUCAUGUCAAAUCCCAGACUGAUGUGAUGAAAUGGCUCAUUCCCAUUUGGAGAAUAAAACUAUUCCUGGUAGCUUUUUACAGCCUUGAUUAAAAGAUAGACAUGAAGUAUGCAGAGAAUGAGGGCUGCAGACUUGGGAUGAGGCUUAGAUGGAAACCACAGCUUCAAGACUGCCAGGGCCACGGGGCCAAGCCUCUACCUCUUGUUUUUCUAAGGGAAAUGUGAGGAACAUAUGUUUUUCAUUGCACCCCCUUUUGGCCAUUUACAUAUCGGGGGGCUGUGUAUUUGGCAAUAGGUCCUAUUUUUAGGACCUUGAAAACCUUUGAAACUGUUUUCCUUCUGGCACGUGUGUGCUUUAAGCAAAAAGAAAACACGAAGCUCAGAAAGGAAAAGAGAAACAUGUGCACAGAAACGGAUGAUUUUUGCAGCCCGGCAUCACACAAUAAGAAAGCAAUCAUUCAGUUGCGACUUUAAAAAUGGAUCCUUGCCCGGAUUUUCCAACUAUUUCCUUCUAAAUGACUGUUUCUCUACAGAACUAAACUAAUGUAAAGAGACAGGUUGUCCCCGUGCCAAGACUGAGCAGGCAAAGUAGGACAGAGGCUGUUUUUAGGGAAGGAACGUGGCACAGUAAUGCCUGCUCUGUCUCCUGCGGCCCCUUGGGCAGAGGCAGAGAUGCCUCAUGCCCACUGCAUGGCUGUGGGCCCGUCUCCCACCUGACUCUACAGAGCCUACAGAACCCCAGUCCUAUUAUUUGCAAUCAGUAACAAAGAUUCAUCCUGUGUCAGUCAUACAACACGGAGAGUCUUUGUCACUCAGUGUAAUUAAUAGCCUUCGCCUCGCACGGGACGAUGGGAGAAGAACACUGUUUGUGACUCGGUGUCCUCGGAGGAGGGUUCACCAAUCCUUGCCUCCUUGUGACCACUAACAUGCCACAACUCCAGCCGCAGUGGAAAGAGGACUUAGAAUCACCAUGGAUCCCAUCUCUGACUAUUCCUAAAGUGUGUUUCCAGAAAGGUUGUGAGAACAGGGAAGUUCCACCCUGAAUGAGGGCUGGGGUCCCGGUCUGUGCAACACGGAGAAAGUGAGCUGAGGAGCAGCCUCCAUUCCCUCUGCCUCCUGCCCGCAGUGCACUGUGAUCAGGGGGUACACAGUGUUCCAUGCCUUCCCCACCGUCACAGACUACACCUCAGACCCCGAGCCAGGAUAAAUGUUUCCUGCCUGAAGCAGCUUUAUCGGGUGUUUCGUCACAGCCACAGGAAAGUAACCAACACGGCCAGACUGCUUAUGAACAGCAAACCCACUGCCAGCCUUUGCUCUGUGCUCUGACAGGAAGCUCAUUCCAGCCGGUCAGCCACCUUGCCUUUGCUGUUCCUCAUCAGGGUGCCAUGGAUCCUGAAAGCUGGCUGAGGCAGCUUUCUGUCAGCUCUGGUCGCAUGGUCUUAAACCACAGACAUUUGUUUUCUUACAGCUCUGCUGGUCUUAAUCCAAGAUCACAUUCCAGCAGGGUUCCUCCUGGCAUGUAAAGGGUCAGUUUCUUGCUGUGCCCUUGUGGGUCCUUCCUUCAGGAUAUACUCAUGAAGAGACUUUCCUUGGUCUUCCCAUGCAAACACCAACCACAUCUCACUAGGGCCCCACACUCUGCACUGCAUUGAGCCCAGUAAGCUCCCAGUAGCCCCAUCUGCAGACAUAGUUACACUGGGAGUUACGACUUCAAUACAAAGUUUUGGGAGAAAUUCAGUGGAGUCUAUAGGAACCCGUAGGCCAGAUGCCCUCAAAGGAUAAAAUGCACAGAGUAUGAAAGUGACUUACAUUGACCUCACUGUAAGCUUACACAUUAGCUUGUAAGGCCUUUUAGUGUAGACAUGACUCAUGAUACAUGUAAUAUAAUGAUACAACGAUGCAUGACGGCUGUUGAUGAGGGGGAAAACGCAGCUGUUUUGUAUGUGUUUUAAGCUGUAAAAUAUAAAAAUAGUCUAUGCAAUCAAUUCCUACCUAAAAUGUCAAUUUUGUAAUAAUGUGUGCAUCCAUCAGUUAUCACUGUGACCGACCACAUAAAUAAUUCAUAAUUUAACUCA